This 253-nucleotide ribosomal RNA is filed under the name uncultured bacterium. RNAcentral describes it as "partial 16S ribosomal RNA". It matches the Rfam family "Bacterial small subunit ribosomal RNA", at positions 524 to 776 of the family's 1533-position model. The record is from RNAcentral.
UACGUAGGGGGCUAGCGUUGUCCGGAAUUACUGGGCGUAAAGGGCGCGUAGGCGAUUUUAUAAGUCUUGUGUGAAAGCCCCGUGCUUAACGCGGGAAGUGCAUAAGAUACUGUAGGAAUUGAGUUCCGGAGAGGAAGAUGGAAUUCCCGGUGUAGCGGAUGAAUGCGUAGAUAUCGGGAGGAACACCCGUAGCGAAGGCGGCACUCUGGGCCGGAACUGACGCUGAGGAGCGAAAGCGUGGGGAGCAAACAGG